This 253-nucleotide ribosomal RNA is filed under the name uncultured bacterium. RNAcentral's name for it is "partial 16S ribosomal RNA". It matches the Rfam family "Bacterial small subunit ribosomal RNA", at positions 524 to 776 of the family's 1533-position model. The record is from RNAcentral.
UACGUAGGGUGCGAGCGUUAAUCGGAAUUACUGGGCGUAAAGUGUGCGCAGGCGGCCGAGCAAGUCGAGUGUGAAAGCCCCGAGCUUAACUUGGGAACUGCGCUCGAAACUACUUGGCUAGAGUGUGGCAGAGGGAGGUGGAAUUCCACGUGUAGCGGUGAAAUGCGUAGAGAUGUGGAGGAACACCGAUGGCGAAGGCAGCCUCCUGGGCCAACACUGACGCUGAUGCGCGAAAGCGUGGGUAGCAAACAGG